RNAcentral lists this transfer RNA (66 nucleotides) under Alloxiphidiopsis emarginata. Its description in RNAcentral is "tRNA-Pro". Lineage: Eukaryota; Metazoa; Arthropoda; Insecta; Orthoptera; Tettigoniidae. The record is from RNAcentral. RNAcentral also lists the same sequence under 1 other name.
CAAAGGGUAGUUUAGUAUAAAAUAUUAAUUUUGGGGAUUAAUGAUGAGAAAUUUUCUUUCCUUUGA